GGUAAGAUGGCUGAGAACUAAGCGGCGGAUUGUAGUCCCGUGAACAGAGGUUAGAUUCCUCUUCAUACCA
Molecule: transfer RNA, 70 nt
Filed under: Squatina aculeata (sawback angelshark)
Lineage: Eukaryota; Metazoa; Chordata; Chondrichthyes; Squatinidae
Description: tRNA-Tyr
Rfam family: tRNA
About the family: Transfer RNA (tRNA) molecules are approximately 80 nucleotides in length.
Source: RNAcentral